UACGUAGGGGCCUAGCGUUGUCCGGAUUCACUGGGCGUAAAGGGUGCGUAGGCGGUCGGGUAAGUCUGAUGUGAAAUCUCACAGCUUAACUGUGAAACUGCAUUGGAUACUAUCCGGCUCGAGGAAUGGAGGGGAGACUGGAAUACUUGGUGUAGCAGUGAAAUGCGUAGAGAUCGUAAGGAAGACCAGUGGCGAAGGCGGGUCUCUGGACAGUUCCUGACACUGAGGCACGAAGGCCAGGGGAGCAAACGGG
Molecule: ribosomal RNA, 253 nt
Filed under: uncultured bacterium
Lineage: Bacteria
Description: partial 16S ribosomal RNA
Rfam family: Bacterial small subunit ribosomal RNA
Source: RNAcentral